Molecule: ribosomal RNA, 274 nt
Filed under: uncultured prokaryote
Description: partial 16S ribosomal RNA
Rfam family: Bacterial small subunit ribosomal RNA
Source: RNAcentral
UACGUAGGGGGCGAGCGUUGUCCGGAAUUAUUGGGCGUAAAGGGUUCGUAGGCGGUAAUACAUGUCAGAUGUGAAAUCUUGUGGCUUAACCACAUCAAGCAUCUGAAACUGUAUAACUUGAGUGGAGGAGAGGUAAGUGGAAUUCCUAGUGUAGCGGUGAAAUGCGUAGAUAUUAGGAAGAAUACCAGUAGCGAAGGCGACUUACUGGCCUCUAACUGACGCUGAUGAACGAAAGCGUGGGUAGCAAACAGGAUUAGAUACCCGGGUAGUCCCU